AUUUAGAGGAAGUAAAAGUCGUAACAAGGUUUCCGUAGGUGAACCUGCGGAAGGAUCAUUAUCGAAUAUAAACUUGGGUAGACUGUUGCUGGCUUCUCUUCGAGGAGCAUGUGCACGUUUAUCCUCUUUAUUUUUCCACCUGUGCACCUUUUGUAGGCUUGGAAUUAUUUUAAUAGUGUCUUUUCCCAAAGGCAUAAGAAUUUUUUUGGGACUGCUGUGUUUAAACGCAUGUUUAUCGGCUUUCCCUUUUAUUUUUCCAAGUCUAUGUUUUUCAUAUACACUCCAGAAAUUUGAUAGAAUGCUGUACUUGUAGGUCAUACCUAUAAUAAAAUCAGUACAACUUUCAGCAACGGAUCUCUUGGCUCUCGCAUCGAUGAAGAACGCAGCGAAAUGCGAUAAGUAAUGUGAAUUGCAGAAUUCAGUGAAUCAUCGAAUCUUUGAACGCAUCUUGCGCUCCUUGGUAUUCCGAGGAGCAUGCCUGUUUGAGUAUCAUUAAAUUAUCAACUGUGCCAAUUAUUUUGGUUUACAGAUUGGAUGUGGGGGGUAUUUUGCAGGCUUUUUAUUGAGUCUGCUCUCCUGAAAUGUAUUAGCAGUGCCUUUGUUGGUUUCCUUGGGUGUGAUAAUUUAUCUACAUCUUUACAUGGUACCUUCAUUUGUAAAGGUCAUAUUGCUUCCAAUUGUCUUUGGACGGAAUUAUGAAACUUGAUCUCAAAUCAGGCAGGACUACCCGCUGAACU
RNAcentral lists this ribosomal RNA (737 nucleotides) under Mallocybe terrigena. Its description in RNAcentral is "eukaryotic LSU rRNA". The stretch from base 339 to 492 matches the Rfam family "5.8S ribosomal RNA". Lineage: Eukaryota; Fungi; Basidiomycota; Agaricomycetes; Agaricales; Inocybaceae. The record is from RNAcentral.